GAUGAACGCUGGCGGCGUGCCUAAUACAUGCAAGUCGAGCGAACAGACGAGGAGCUUGCUCCUCUGACGUUAGCGGCGGACGGGUGAGUAACACGUAGAUAACCUACCUAUAAGACUGGGAUAACUUCGGGAAACCGGAGCUAAUAACGGAUAAUAUAUUGAACCGCAUGGUUCAAUAGUGAAAGACGGUUUUGCUGUCACUUAUAGAUGGAUCCGCGCCGCAUUAGGUAGUUGGUAAGGUAACGGCUUACCAAGGCGACGAUGCGUAGCCGACUUGAGAGGGUUAUCGGCCACACUGGAACUGAGACACGGUCCAGACUCCUAAGGGAGGCAGCAGUAGGGAAUCUUCCGCAAUGGGCGAAAGCCUGACGGAGCAACGCCGCGUGAGUGAUGAAGGUCUUCGGAUCGUAAAACUCUGUUAUUAGGGAAGAACAAAUGUGUAAGUAACUAUGCACGUCUUGACGGUACCUAAUCAGAAAGCCCCGGCUAACUACGUG
This 497-nucleotide ribosomal RNA is filed under the name uncultured bacterium. RNAcentral's name for it is "partial 16S ribosomal RNA". It matches the Rfam family "Bacterial small subunit ribosomal RNA", at positions 28 to 507 of the family's 1533-position model. The record is from RNAcentral.